RNAcentral lists this long non-coding RNA (720 nucleotides) under Parus major (Great Tit). RNAcentral describes it as "lncRNA (ENSPMJG00000008412.1)". The record is from RNAcentral. Lineage: Eukaryota; Metazoa; Chordata; Aves; Passeriformes; Paridae.
GCAUUUUAAUAAAAAAACAUCUAUUUGUUCUCCAAUUUUUUUUAUUCUCAUAAAAAAAUGUUCAUUUCUCUAAUUUCUGUUGCUUUUUUUCCCAUGCACCCCCUGCUUCUCCCACACGUUCCAACUUGUGACAGAGAUGCUUCUGUGAUGAAAGAAUUAGGACCUGGGAAGAGGCAGUCAUGAUCUGGAUGCUUCAGAGGAUCAUCUUGGGAGAUGAUAACUCAUUUCGUACCAUCAGUCAAUGUCUGUAACCACCUGCUUUUGGAGGAGAAUGCCAGGAUGAUGUCACCCAGAGGCUGCAGCUCUUUGCUUCAGCAGCUUUUGAGGAUGUGGUACCACAUGAAUGAGGCUGGAUGAGAAGCUGGAGAAAACCAGCAGGGAGAAGAAAGCAUGUAUGGUCAGCACAGAGUUUACUUCUUGCUUUUUCUUCUAACUGGCACUAUUUGAAGAAUGCCAUUUUAAUGUCAGGUUAUGCUGAAGAAGAGUCCAGCUCCUGCUUUUUCAGACCUUCUGAAGCAGGAAAGAACUAACAGCCUGCACUAGACCUCUUAUCAGUGCAGAGCUUGGACUAAAUGUGUCUUUGUUGACCUUCUCCUCCUCUUGCUACAGCAAAGAAAUUACCUUAGUUUCAAAAAAGCUGACAUGUAGGUACAGCUGGUAUGUAUUAGCACUUUGGUUGUAUAUUGCUGGAACACAAAUAAUUUGGCAGCUGUGAUUUUA